RNAcentral lists this long non-coding RNA (303 nucleotides) under Nicotiana benthamiana. RNAcentral's name for it is "long non-coding RNA (NBEN_LNC013281)". The record is from RNAcentral. Lineage: Eukaryota; Viridiplantae; Streptophyta; Magnoliopsida; Solanales; Solanaceae.
AGGGAUUGAUUUAAGUGAAUGUUCAAAAGAACCUGGUCCUAAGUCAAACAUAGCAAUGAGAUGCUACCUCAACUUUGGACAGUACUUUACAUACAAAGGGAAUUAAAGGGAAAUGGAUCACACGAAAACAUUCAUAUAAACAUCGAGAAAAUCAUAACAGAACUUAAAGAUGCAUGAGCAUGAAGCAAGAACAUAACAAACUAAUGUAUAGUCAUAUAAUGCAAGAAGGCUAAACAUGUAGUGAGGAAUUAUGUAAAGGUAGAAGUAAACACAUAGUUUUGGAGCAUGGUAUUUAAAUUAUAG